AGAGUUUGAUCAUGGCUCAGAAUCAACGCUGGCGGCGUGCCUAACACAUGCAAGUCGAACGCGAAAGUGGAGCAAUCCAUGAGUAGAGUGGCAAACGGGUGAGUAACGCGUGGGUGACCUACCUUCGAAUGGGGGAUAACGUCCCGAAAGGGACGCUAAUACCGCAUAACAUCCUGCCUUUGAACAGGUGGAGAUCAAAGCCGGGGAUCGCAAGACCUGGCGUUUGGAGAGGGGCCCGCGUCUGAUUAGCUAGUUGGUGAGGUAACGGCCCACCAAGGCGACGAUCAGUAUCCGGCCUGAGAGGGCGGACGGACACACUGGGACUGAGACACGGCCCAGACUCCUACGGGAGGCAGCAGUGGGGAAUUGUUCGCAAUGGGCGCAAGCCUGACGACGCAACGCCGCGUGGAGGAUGAAGGUCUUCGGAUUGUAAACUCCUGUUGCCAGGGACGAAAAGCUCCGACCUAACACGUCGGAGUCUGACGGUACCUGUAGAGCCCCGGAAUGUCCC
RNAcentral lists this ribosomal RNA (511 nucleotides) under uncultured Acidobacteriaceae bacterium. RNAcentral describes it as "bacterial SSU rRNA". It matches the Rfam family "Bacterial small subunit ribosomal RNA", at positions 8 to 504 of the family's 1533-position model. Lineage: Bacteria; Pseudomonadati; Acidobacteriota; Terriglobia; Terriglobales; Acidobacteriaceae. The record is from RNAcentral.